AGGGUUCGAUUCUGGCUCAGGAUGAACGCUGGCGGCGUGCUUAACACAUGCAAGUCGAACGAAGCCAAAAGGAAGCUUGCUUCUUGAAGCUUAGUGGCGGACGGGUGAGUAACGCGUGAGGAACCUGCCCUUCAGUGGGGAAUAACAGCCGGAAACGACUGCUAAUACCGCAUAACGUCGAAGAGCCGCAUGACUUUUCGACCGAAGGAUUUAUUCGCUGAAGGAUGGCCUCGCGUCCGAUUAGGCAGUUGGUGAGGUAACGGCCCACCAAACCUACGAUCGGUAGCCGAACUGAGAGGUUGAUCGGCCACAUUGGGACUGAGACACGGCCCAGACUCCUACGGGAGGCAGCAGUGGGGAAUAUUGGGCAAUGGGGACCGAAAGCCUGACCCAGCAACGCCGCGUGAAGGAAGACGGUCUUCGGAUUGUAAACUUCUUUGAUUGGGGAAGAAUAAAAUGACCUACCCAAAGAACAAGUCACGGCUAACUACGUGCCAGCCGCCGC
Molecule: ribosomal RNA, 505 nt
Filed under: uncultured bacterium
Lineage: Bacteria
Description: bacterial SSU rRNA
Rfam family: Bacterial small subunit ribosomal RNA
Source: RNAcentral